Molecule: long non-coding RNA, 1824 nt
Filed under: Salarias fasciatus (jewelled blenny)
Lineage: Eukaryota; Metazoa; Chordata; Actinopteri; Blenniiformes; Blenniidae
Description: lncRNA (ENSSFAG00005002192.1)
Source: RNAcentral
CAGUAUAAAAUAUAGGCGGAUGUUUCAAAAUGACAGAGAAGACGUUCUGUGCAGGCAAAUAACAUGAAGUCUCCUGUCCCUGCAUUAAUCUUUGUACUGGUUACAUUUGUGCAUUUCAACUCAGCCUCCUCAGAAUGGACUGGAGAUUUAAACGGAAAACUCGCUUUUUGGGACACAGGCGUCAACCUGGAGGGUGACGAUCAGACGCCAUGUUUUCAUUUUUGCGCCACGGACGGAGACUGUCCUGAUCCGUUGAGGUGCACUGUGAGCGGGUGUGGGCAUAUAUGCACAGACCCAAACCAAGACAAAUUAUGGGAUUUUGAUUUCAAUAUAAAAAAUAACUCGACGGAGCCGUGCGUCGAUAGCUGCAUGACUGACGACGACUGCCCGGACAACAUGAACUGCCUCAUGAGCGGAUGUGGACGCAUGUGCUUGGACGCAAGCCAGAAUUUUCCUUUCCCUAUUGAAAUGACUGGACUUUGUGGUUCAGCCUCUAACCUGGGAAUCAAUACACUGAUGCCGUGCAUUAAUCUGUGCUACGACGAUGAUGACUGCCCCGAAAGCAAGACGUGCGCCAUCCAGGGAUGUGGACGGAUGUGUAUGGACCCAACCACUGAAGGAACUGGACUGUGGGAUCUGGAUUCCGAUCUGGGAAAAGACCCGUUGGAUUCCAUUGGUUCAGAUUUGACCUCGGGAAUGGGACUCAAUCCGUGGGAUUUGGACCCUACUCUGGGAAAAGACCCGUUGGAUUCCAUUGGUUCAGAUUUCACCUCGGGAAGCGGACUCAAUCCGUGGGAUUUGGACCCUACUCUGGGAAAAGACCCAUUGGAUUCCAUUGGUUCAGAUUUGACCCCGGGAAUCGGACUCAAUCCAUGGGAUUUGGACCCCACUCUGGGAAAAGACCCAUUGGAUUCCAUUGGUUCAGAUUUGACCCCGGGAAUCGGACUCAAUCCGUGGGAUUUGGACUCCACUCUGGGAAAAGACCCGUUGGAUUCCAUUGGUUCAGAUUUGACCCUGGGAAUCGGACUCAAUCCGUGGAAUUUGGACCCCACUCUGGGAAAAGACCCAUUGGAUUCCAUUGGUUCAGAUUUGACCUCGGGAAUCGAUGAUGUAUUGCCUUUGCCUUUAGAAGCCCCUAAACUGUGUGGCUCAGAUUGCAAUCCGGGAAUGGACCCAUUGAUACCAUGUCUUAAUUCGUGCUCCAGCGAUGACGACUGCCCCAACAGCAUGAAGUGCUCCGUCCAGGGAUGUGGACGGACGUGCACUGCGUCAACUGACGGAGAGCCUCCUCUGGGGGAUUUGGACUCCACACCGGACAGUGAACCCUGGAACCCCUGUGUUGAUCUGUGCUCUAAUGACGACCAGUGUCCCGAAAACAUGAAGUGUGUGAAGAAGGGAUGUGAACGGCGGUGCGUGGCCUCAAACCAAGAUAAGAGUGAUGAGUGGUCUUGGAAAUUUGACGAAGGAGAAAAUCCUGAAGGAUGGGAGUGGAGCUCCGACGAGGAAACUGGUUUCAAGGAGUCAGACAUCGAGAAGCUGUGGGUUUGGGAUGAGGAUAAGGACAGUGACAGUUCCACUGCAGACCUUUUCAAAAAGCUUGCGCAGUUAAGGAACAAUUUGGAAGAUUUGGAGGGAAGUGCCACUUCAGGAUUUCUAGGUGAGUUCUUACAAAGAUGUAUUUUGCUCCUUGGCUAUUGGCCAGUCUAUAACUGUGCAACUCCAAUCACACCCAGCAGAUGGCAGUAUUGGAACGUUGUAAUAGAAAAGCCCUGACACUGGCGCCACAGUUUCUUCAGCCUCAUAUGGGUGCAAACUGAAGGCGUG